UGGGGAAUAUUGGACAAUGGGCGAAAGCCUGAUCCAGCCAUGCCGCGUGUGUGAAGAAGGUCUUCGGAUUGUAAAGCACUUUAAGUUGGGAGGAAGGGCAGUAAGCGAAUACCUUGCUGUUUUGACGUUACCGACAGAAUAAGCACCGGCUAACUCUGUGCCAGCAGCCGCGGUAAUACAGAGGGUGCAAGCGUUAAUCGGAAUUACUGGGCGUAAAGCGCGCGUAGGUGGUUCAUUAAGUUGAAUGUGAAAGCCCCGGGCUCAACCUGGGAACUGCAUCCAAAACUGGCGAGCUAGAGUAGGGCAGAGGGUGGUGGAAUUUCCUGUGUAGCGGUGAAAUGCGUAGAUAUAGGAAGGAACACCAGUGGCGAAGGCGACCACCUGGGCUCAUACUGACACUGAGGUGCGAAAGCGUGGGGAGCAAACAGG
Molecule: ribosomal RNA, 429 nt
Filed under: Pseudomonadota bacterium
Lineage: Bacteria; Pseudomonadati; Pseudomonadota
Description: Proteobacteria bacterium partial 16S ribosomal RNA
Rfam family: Bacterial small subunit ribosomal RNA
Source: RNAcentral